This is a long non-coding RNA of Scylla paramamosain (green mud crab), 3119 nucleotides long. RefSeq lists it as uncharacterized. The transcript has 2 exons. NCBI's taxonomy places the organism in Eukaryota, Metazoa, Arthropoda, Malacostraca, Decapoda, Portunidae. The record is from RefSeq and is a predicted model, not a curated record.
CUCAUUGUUGCUUCACUGGAUGUGUGCUUUACGUCACCAUGUCACGAGGCACCUGCUGCCUUAUCUUAUUUACUCACAUGAGUGGGUGUUAUGAGUGGAUGUUGUGAGAUGAUGUUUUAUUUAAGGAAAGCGUUAAGAGGGAUUCCUUUCUGAAAUUAUUAUAGAACUGAAAGCAAUGGAGGGUUUGAUUUAUUUUAUUCAUUUACUAACUUAGGUGUGGGUGUUUUUUUUUAAACGUUCAAGAGCAGUAAACGUGAUUCUUUUCCUAAAUUAUCAAGGACUUAAAGUAAUAGAGGGAAUUCUUUACUAAUUAGUCAGGCGUCGUGUUAAUGGGUAGGAUUUUUUUUCCCCAAUUACUUAAGGGGUGAAUAACGUACGGAUUUCCUUAUCUGCUUCGCUAGAGAGAAAGACAAUGGGGUGGAUUUAUAUCUCUCUUAUUCCUACAUUCAUUACCUUUUCCCUUCCUCGUCUGCAUUUCCUCCAGAAAAUAUAAAGGAAAAGUCCGUAUGAAAAGCUUGUGAUGUUGACCGAAAGUGAAAGAAAGUGUUUUAUUAAAUUUUACCUCUUUAAUUUUCACAUUCGUUUUUUUCCCUUGUAUACAAUUCUUCCGCACAAAAUAUAAAAGUAAAAAAAAUAAAUAGUAAGGAACCUCGUGACUUUGGAAAUAUAUAAUCUUCCAAGAAUGGAAAGGGAAAAUUAUAGGUGGUCUUAUUAAAAUAUUUUAACAUUCAUUAUAUUUUCACUCGUAUACAAAUCCUCUUGAAAACAGAAAGAUACAAAAAAAAAAAAAAAGCUCUUGACUUUGAAAUUUACAAUCUUACAGUCCUUAUAAAGCAUUGCAAACAGAUAGAUAUUCCUCAUUACCAGACAUCCUUCGUAUCUUAACCCUUGCACUGCUUUUUGACGCAUCUUUCUUUAAUCAUUAACAAAUCUGAGACAUCUUUUCUUGUUCUACAGCCACCUCCAAACAUCGAAGUGGCUGGAAAUUGCAAAAUCUACACAAUCUACACAUCUUGUAGAUGCGUAUAAAGAUCUUCUACAUUGCUUUGAGCGACAUGAAGUGUUACAUAAAACAGUGAAAGGGGUGUUAAACACCUUCUUUGGAGUAGAGUUAACACGCACUAGACUGAACUAUGCAAACAUCGUGCUUACGAUACCGAGGCAGGAAAUAUCGCUUAUUACGCGCCUAGAUAGUGGCAGUCAGUCACCCAUAUGGCGGAACAUGACAUUCAGAACAGCACGUGCUAAGAAAGAAAACGGGAUGUUACAAUACAUUAGCUUCCUUCACAAUGACACGUAGGGUUCCUAAGAGCGGGUAUCUCCCACGAUUUCAUUCAUAUUUGUGAUGCUGUCUUCUCUCGUAGAUCCGCAAUUUUCUGAAGGGAAUGCAAAGAUUUAGCUAUAUAAAGGAGUUGUGAGUAAAAUGGAUGUAAUCAGUUACAUAAUAUGAAUUUUGAGUGAAAUGCAAAGAAUGACUUACAGAAAAAGAAAAGUCUCAAGUGAAAUACAAUGAAUAAUUUACGAAAAGAAGAACACAUAUGCAAAAGACGAGUUACAGAAAAAAAAAUGUUUUGCGUGAAAUACAAAAAUGCACUACAGAUUGACAAAAAGAAAGACAAACGUAAAAUAAAAGAGCCCGUCCUCCCUCACCCAUAAGCCUGGAACAAUCGAGCUACAGUAUCAGGAUGAGAUAUAAUUAGGAUUCAUAAGAUUUUAUCACGCCAUUCCUUCCUUCCAUACCCUUCCCUCGCACAGCCACAUUUCACAGUCUCAGUCACUCACCAAUGUUUCAUCAGCUCACCUGUCUACACGUACCACAGCUCAUUUAGUCCCCUAAACACUCCCUAUGUUGACCCACUGACUGCUAAUGAAGCCGCCACUGCUAUUUCAUUUCAGUAAAUUUAUACAACUUUACAUAUGCUGAAUAAAGAAUUAAUAGAUGAUUGAUUUCAACCACUGAAUUACUCACUCAUUAUACAGACAGUGCUAUCUUUUCAAAUUACACUUUAAACUUCCAGGGAAGGAAAACCACGGCAGUCAGAGGGUUAUUGUGCCGAGGUAGGCCAGGUCAUCACGAAUACACGAUAUCACACGUUACUACACCACAUUAUCUUCACCACAUUAUCUUAUCACCCAAAAUCUGAACUCCAAGUCAUGCUAAACAAUGUCCCAAGGCCUCUCACUCUCACCAUCCACCCUUCAUCCCAUGCCAUCACAAAUACACUGCCCUACACCGAACCCAAGUCACGUCACCCAGACUCUGAACUCCCAUUUAUGCCACAUAAUACCCUGUCUCAACCCCUCACCCUCACCCCUCCCACCCUUCAUCCCUGCCCCCUGUAGUCCCGGAGACAUAACCGACACUGAUAGUAUCCCCCAGAUAAGGGCGCGGGUCGGUGGUCUCAGUACCCCGGCAGACAGCGCAUGGAGCAGGUGGAACUGGACACAGUGGGCAAGAUGGAAAACGAAGGAUUCUCCGAGGCUCAGAUGAGGGACAAUCCCAACAACAAAGCCAACUACGUCCCCAUGGGUUAUAAUGCUACAGGAUGGGGUAAGCAAGUCAUACUGAAGCUUACUUGACUCCUACGAUUCGUGAGAAGGAUAGGAGGAGCGGCAAUGACUGACCAACUAACCUGCGCUUUAAUUACCGAGGGAAAGGAAGCUUCUCACAUAUGUGCACAAAAAUUUCAUUCACGCAUUGCCUUCUUCCAAUCCACCUUCAUGCCUCUUAACUAACUAAAAAGACGUGUAUCUUUCUGGUGCCGCAAGGAUUAGUAUCAGACAAAGCUGUGAUUACCAGGUGGCUCUCCCUUCACGUUCACUGGGGCCGUGAAAGGAGAGCUUUCACUCCGCUGUGAUACACUUUCAUGUCGCACUCCACCGCCAGAUGGUGCUACCAACACCAACAACAGCAACUACACAAAAGACGCUCGCAGUGACUAGGGAAAAUUUAUCAACAAUAAUGAGAUUAACCUGAUAAGAAAUAACGAUAGUGUAAUGUGGUUUCAAAAAUUUUAUCAAGUAAAUAUUUUCCCAUUAUGUUCUCACUAUAAGCAACGCAACAGUCACCUAGGGAGUUUGUAAAAACGUGCUGUUGUACUAAAAUAUUCUUCAGGAAA